Molecule: ribosomal RNA, 441 nt
Filed under: uncultured bacterium
Lineage: Bacteria
Description: partial 16S ribosomal RNA
Rfam family: Bacterial small subunit ribosomal RNA
Source: RNAcentral
CCUACGGGGGGCAGCAGUGGGGAAUAUUGCACAAUGGGGGAAACCCUGAUGCAGCGACGCCGCGUGAGUGAAGAAGUAUUUCGGUAUGUAAAGCUCUAUCAGCAGGAACGAGACAAGACGGUACCUGACUAAGAAGCCCCGGCUAACUACGUGCCAGCAGCCGCGGUAAUACGUAGGGGGCAAGCGUUACCCGGAAUCACUGGGUGGAAAGGGAGCGUAGACGGCUGAGCAAGCCUGAAGUGAAAGGCGGGGGCCCAACCCCCGGACUGCUUUGGGAACUGUACGGCUGGAGUGCAGGAGGGGUAAGUGGAAUUCCUAGUGUAGCAGUGAAAUGCGUAGAUAUUAGGAGGAACACCAGUGGCGAAGGCGGCUUACUGGACUGUAACUGACGUUGAGGCUCGAAAGCGUGGGGAGCAAACAGGAUUAGAUACCCUGGUAGUC